This 236-nucleotide unclassified non-coding RNA is filed under the name uncultured fungus. RNAcentral describes it as "partial contains 5.8S ribosomal RNA, internal transcribed spacer 2, and large subunit ribosomal RNA". The record is from RNAcentral. Lineage: Eukaryota; Fungi.
AACGCACAUUGCGCCCCCUGGCAUUCCGGGGGGCACGCCCGUCCGAGCGCCAGCGCAGACCUCGAGCCCCGCGCUCGCCGUUGGGCGCCGCCCCCAGGGGCGCGCCCCGAACCGGUCGGCGGCGCCGCCGGCGUGGAGCGCAACGAGCCCAGAGCCCGCGCCCCCCGCCGGCGGCGGCCGCCCGCCCCCACCGCAAGCAAGGCCUCGGAUCGGGCGGGGAUACCCGCUGAACUUAA